RNAcentral lists this ribosomal RNA (577 nucleotides) under uncultured bacterium. RNAcentral describes it as "partial 16S ribosomal RNA". It matches the Rfam family "Bacterial small subunit ribosomal RNA", at positions 355 to 921 of the family's 1533-position model. The record is from RNAcentral.
UGGGGAAUAUUGCACAAUGGGCGCAAGCCUGAUGCAGCCAUGCCGCGUGUGUGAAGAAGGCCUUCGGGUUGUAAAGCACUUUCAGCGAGGAGGAAGGUGGUGAGCUUAAUACGCUCAUCAAUUGACGUUACUCGCAGAAGAAGCACCGGCUAACUCCGUGCCAGCAGCCGCGGUAAUACGGAGGGUGCAAGCGUUAAUCGGAAUUACUGGGCGUAAAGCGCACGCAGGCGGUUUGUUAAGUCAGAUGUGAAAUCCCCGGGCUCAACCUGGGAACUGCAUUUGAAACUGGCAAGCUAGAGUCUCGUAGAGGGGGGUAGAAUUCCAGGUGUAGCGGUGAAAUGCGUAGAGAUCUGGAGGAAUACCGGUGGCGAAGGCGGCCCCCUGGACGAAGACUGACGCUCAGGUGCGAAAGCGUGGGGCAGCAAACAGGAUUAGAUACCCUGGUAGUCCAGCGCUGUAAACGAUGUCGAUUUUGGAGGUUGUGCCCUUGAGGCGUGGCUUCCGGAGCUAACGCGUUAAAUCGACCGCCUGGGGAGUACGGCCGCAAGGUUAAAACUCAAAUGAAUUGACGGGGUCU